Long non-coding RNA from Cydia amplana, 245 nucleotides. RefSeq lists it as uncharacterized. The record is from RefSeq and is a predicted model, not a curated record. The transcript is spliced from 3 exons. Lineage: Eukaryota; Metazoa; Arthropoda; Insecta; Lepidoptera; Tortricidae.
CCGGGAUGAUGCUUCGGACUACGAAGAAUUUCAGCAACGCGACUUUUUGGGAUCGCCCAAAAAGACAUCAUCCAAAGUAAUGUCCCCAUUCCCGAAGCACAUCGGACGUCGAAAGCACGUUCCGAGGGACGUUCCAGCCAAAACAGUAAGAGAAAAGUGGAAGGAAGCAACGCGAGAGCAUGCAUGGCAAAAGUCUCCGGACCAGCGUGGCGUACCCGCAUAUAAUAAUUGUACGUGUUCAAUAA